Molecule: transfer RNA, 67 nt
Filed under: Marmota monax (woodchuck)
Lineage: Eukaryota; Metazoa; Chordata; Mammalia; Rodentia; Sciuridae
Description: tRNA.Val
Rfam family: tRNA
About the family: Transfer RNA (tRNA) molecules are approximately 80 nucleotides in length. Their secondary structure includes four short double-helical elements and three loops (D, anti-codon, and T loops). Further hydrogen bonds mediate the characteristic L-shaped molecular structure. tRNAs have two regions of fundamental functional importance: the anti-codon, which is responsible for specific mRNA codon recognition, and the 3' end, to which the tRNAs corresponding amino acid is attached (by aminoacyl-tRNA synthetases). tRNAs cope with the degeneracy of the genetic code in two manners: having more than one tRNA (with a specific anti-codon) for a particular amino acid; and 'wobble' base-pairing, i.e. permitting non-standard base-pairing at the 3rd anti-codon position.
Source: RNAcentral
GGUUGUAGCCCAGUGGUAGAGCACUUGCCUAACAUGUAUGAGGCACUGGGUUCAAUCCUCAGCACCA